RNAcentral lists this transfer RNA (90 nucleotides) under Pseudobdellovibrionaceae bacterium. RNAcentral's name for it is "Bdellovibrionaceae bacterium (activated sludge metagenome) tRNA-Ser". It matches the Rfam family "tRNA". From Rfam's summary of the family: Transfer RNA (tRNA) molecules are approximately 80 nucleotides in length. Their secondary structure includes four short double-helical elements and three loops (D, anti-codon, and T loops). Lineage: Bacteria; Pseudomonadati; Bdellovibrionota; Bdellovibrionia; Bdellovibrionales; Pseudobdellovibrionaceae. The record is from RNAcentral.
GGAGAGGUGUCCGAGUGGCCGAAGGAGCUCGAUUCGAAAUCGAGUAGACGUUAACCCGUCUCGUGGGUUCGAAUCCCACCCUCUCCGCCA